This 1174-nucleotide long non-coding RNA is filed under the name Bactrocera tryoni. RNAcentral's name for it is "uncharacterized LOC120777017, transcript variant X2". The record is from RNAcentral. Lineage: Eukaryota; Metazoa; Arthropoda; Insecta; Diptera; Tephritidae.
UGAAACAAAAGUUAACAAACCAAUUGUGCAAAUAUAUAUGCAUCUAAAAAACUAGACAGUGAGUGUGUUUUAGGAAACGUCAAAACUCAAACGAAAUUCCAGCACAAAGUACACGUACAAAGAUCCAUUUUCUACCACCCAACCGUAUCAAAGUGGUAGCAAGAGCAAGAACAGAUUCCCAUUUACAGACGUUAUCGUUCUGCUUGAACUGAUGCGCAUACAUUCCAAUUGACAGUUUUCAGAGGACCUUCGCCGAAGUUGGAAGCAAUAAUUGAACAGUCUCCAAAGUCAGCUAUUUUCUUAAAAAAAAGCUCCAUAUUGAGCCAGAAGUCAGCAUUGUAAAGCAUUGGCCAAAAGCAUAGCUAACAUUACAGUUCAGCAAUCCUAUAUACUAUAGUGCGCGUACCUCCAACGUACUUGCAUAAAAUCCAACAUAUUCGCAUAUCCAAAAAUUCGAAAUUUAUUGAUUUACAAUUGGUCAGUGACAAAAAGCACACGGUCAAAUAAAUGCUAAUUUUACCUUGCUCCCGUUUUCCGUAAAAAAAAAGUAAGCAAAAAUUUUGAAACUAAAGUGUUUUAAUAAAAUUAAAUACAAAAUAUCUUAACAUUGAAAAGUUUAUAUUGGCCAAAAAAAGUAAAAAAAAAAAAUUGAAAAAAAGCAAAAAUAAUCUGCAAAGUAGUCAACAGCCGUAGCAAUCGUAUAACUCAGUGUUCGUGUUUACAGAACUCGUGAAAACGUGAGAGAUUCGUGGGAACUUUUUCUCCACGCGAACAAACAACCCCCGUUUUCUUAUUCGGGGCAUAUCUAUUGUACAUUCCACAAAAACGUUGUGACGCGCAUUUAAAACUCGCCACCCACUAACAAACCAACAAGCACAGCGGCACUAUAGUCUUGUCUUGCAGUGUGCUCGUUAUUCUGCUCUUCCACGCACUAGUUACUACCUUAAGACCAUAAUCGGUACGACGUCUACAAGUCUGCUCUUGCACUACAUACAUAUAAAGUUACUUGGAGUCGAAACACUCCCACCAAUACACACGUAUCAAUUGAUAUAGAAAAGUGCCAGCAAGUGCAUUGUUGGCAAAUAUAUUUUGCGUGAAGAAGAAUUUGUAGAAAGCAAGAAACCAGUUAGUGGUCGAAAAUGUUCUCUGGCCUAACAAAUCAAUUUACUUCAUU